UGUCCGACAUCGCGGAACCAUUGUGCGUUUUGUUCGCGAUCGGUUAAUUUGUGAUCAUUGUUCUUGAUUAAACAAAUAAACGCUCAAUUAAUUUAAAAGAGCUAAUAAAACAACAGGGAAAUUCCUUUCUUGGCGAAACCCGGCGAACCCAACACGUCGGAGAAAAGGCUGCGCCGUACCCUCGCGCCUUCAACGGACCCGCUGGAAGCUACCAACCGGCGGAGAAUCCGCCGCAAAGAAGCAGAAGGAGUCGGUGAGGAAAUUUGUGUCCUCAUCGCACUCCCCAGGUACCCUGUAUUGUAUAGUUUUGUCCAUGUGCACAUGUGAUGU
Long non-coding RNA from Toxorhynchites rutilus septentrionalis, 330 nucleotides. RefSeq lists it as uncharacterized. The record is from RefSeq and is a predicted model, not a curated record. NCBI's taxonomy places the organism in Eukaryota, Metazoa, Arthropoda, Insecta, Diptera, Culicidae. The transcript is spliced from 3 exons.